RNAcentral lists this ribosomal RNA (330 nucleotides) under uncultured bacterium. Its description in RNAcentral is "bacterial SSU rRNA". It matches the Rfam family "Bacterial small subunit ribosomal RNA", at positions 30 to 362 of the family's 1533-position model. The record is from RNAcentral.
AUUGAACGCUGGCGGCAUGCUUUACACAUGCAAGUCGAACGGUAACAGGUCUUCGGAUGCUGACGAGUGGCGAACGGGUGAGUAAUGCAUCGGAACGUGCCCAGUCGUGGGGGAUAACGCAGCGAAAGCUGCGCUAAUACCGCAUACGAUCUACGGAUGAAAGCGGGGGACCGUAAGGCCUCGCGCGAUUGGAGCGGCCGAUGUCAGAUUAGGUAGUUGGUGGGGUAAAGGCUCACCAAGCCAACGAUCUGUAGCUGGUCUGAGAGGACGACCAGCCACACUGGGACUGAGACACGGCCCAGACUCCUACGGGAGGCAGCAGUGGGGGAA